RNAcentral lists this ribosomal RNA (875 nucleotides) under uncultured bacterium. RNAcentral describes it as "bacterial SSU rRNA". It matches the Rfam family "Bacterial small subunit ribosomal RNA", at positions 8 to 931 of the family's 1533-position model. The record is from RNAcentral.
AGAGUUUGAUCCUGGCUCAGAUUGAACGCUGGCGGCAUGCCUUACACAUGCAAGUCGAACGGCAGCGCGGGCUUCGGCCUGGCGGCGAGUGGCGAACGGGUGAGUAAUACAUCGGAACGUGCCCUGUUGUGGGGGAUAACUAGUCGAAAGAUUAGCUAAUACCGCAUACGACCUGAGGGUGAAAGCGGGGGACCGUAAGGCCUCGCGCAAUAGGAGCGGCCGAUGUCUGAUUAGCUAGUUGGUGGGGUAAAGGCCUACCAAGGCGACGAUCAGUAGCUGGUCUGAGAGGACGAUCAGCCACACUGGGACUGAGACACGACCCAGACUCCUACGGGAGGCAGCAGUGGGGAAUUUUGGACAAUGGGGGCAACCCUGAUCCAGCAAUGCCGCGUGUGUGAAGAAGGCCUUCGGGUUGUAAAGCACUUUUGUCCGGAAAGAAAUCGCGCUGGUGCCAGCAGCCGCGGUAAUACGUAGGGUGCGAGCGUUAAUCGGAAUUACUGGGCGUAAAGCGUGCGCAGGCGGUUUUGUAAGACAGGCGUGAAAUCCCCGGGCUCAACCUGGGAAUGGCGCUUGUGACUGCAAGGCUAGAGUGCGUCAGAGGGGGGUAGAAUUCCACGUGUAGCAGUGAAAUGCGUAGAGAUGUGGAGGAAUACCGAUGGCGAAGGCAGCCCCCUGGGACGAGACUGACGCUCAUGCACGAAAGCGUGGGGAGCAAACAGGAUUAGAUACCCUGGUAGUCCACGCCCUAAACGAUGUCAACUAGUUGUUGGGGAUUCAUUUCCUCAGUAACGUAGCUAACGCGUGAAGUUGACCGCCUGGGGAGUACGGGUCGCAAGAUUAAAACUCAAAGGAAUUGACGGGGACCCGCACAAGCG